This 74-nucleotide transfer RNA is filed under the name Candidatus Poribacteria bacterium. Its description in RNAcentral is "tRNA-Gln". It matches the Rfam family "tRNA". Rfam says of the family: Transfer RNA (tRNA) molecules are approximately 80 nucleotides in length. Their secondary structure includes four short double-helical elements and three loops (D, anti-codon, and T loops). The record is from RNAcentral. Lineage: Bacteria; Candidatus Poribacteria.
UGCCGGGUCGUCUAAUGGUAGGACGCCAGGCUCUGGACCUGGUUGUGAGGGUUCGAGUCCUUCCCCGGCAACCA